CGAACGCUGGCGGCGUGCUUAACACAUGCACGUCGAACGGAGGCUUGAGGGAGCUUGCUCCCGAAAGCCUUAGUGGCGGACGGGUGAGUAACGCGUGGGUAACCUGCCCUGAAGAGGGGGAUAACACCGCGAAAGUGGUGCUAAUACCGCAUGAAGCUAUAAGGCUGCAUAGCCAGAUAGCCAAAGGAGAAAUCCGCUUUAGGAUGGACCCGCGUCUGAUUAGCUAGUUGGUGGGGUAACGGCUCACCAAGGCGACGAUCAGUAGCCGGCCGGAGAGGGUGAACGGCCACACUGGGACUGAGACACGGCCCAGACUCCUACGGGAGGCAGCAGUGGGGAAUCUUCCGCAAUGGGCGAAAGCCUGACGGAGCAACGCCGCGUGAAUGAUGAAGGCCUUCGGGUUGUAAAAUUCUGUCUUCAGGGAAGAAAAAAAUGACGGUACCUGAGGAGGAAGCCCCGGCUAACUACGU
This 470-nucleotide ribosomal RNA is filed under the name uncultured bacterium. Its description in RNAcentral is "bacterial SSU rRNA". It matches the Rfam family "Bacterial small subunit ribosomal RNA", at positions 30 to 506 of the family's 1533-position model. The record is from RNAcentral.